Molecule: ribosomal RNA, 253 nt
Filed under: uncultured bacterium
Lineage: Bacteria
Description: partial 16S ribosomal RNA
Rfam family: Bacterial small subunit ribosomal RNA
Source: RNAcentral
UACAGAGGGUGCGAGCGUUGUUCGGAAUUAUUGGGCGUAAAGGGCGCGUAGGCGGUGCGGUAAGUCACCUGUGAAAUCUCCUGGCUCAACUGGGAGCUUGCAGGCGAAACUGCCGUGCUGGAGUGUGGGAGAGGUGCGUGGAAUUCCUGGUGUAGCGGUGAAAUGCGUAGAUAUCAGGAGGAACACCGGUGGUGUAAACGGCUUUCUGGACCAUAACUGACGCUGAGGCACGAAAGCUAGGGGAGCAAACAGG